RNAcentral lists this ribosomal RNA (253 nucleotides) under uncultured bacterium. RNAcentral describes it as "partial 16S ribosomal RNA". It matches the Rfam family "Bacterial small subunit ribosomal RNA", at positions 524 to 776 of the family's 1533-position model. The record is from RNAcentral.
UACGAAGGGGGCUAGCGUUGCUCGGAAUCACUGGGCGUAAAGGGCGCGUAGGCGGCCAUUCAAGUCGGGGGUGAAAGCCCAGGGCUCAACCCUGGAAUUGCCUUCGAUACUGUUUGGCUAGAGACCGGAAGAGGUAAGUGGAACUGCGAGUGUAGAGGUGAAAUUCGUAGAUAUUUGCAAGAACACCAGUGGCGAAGGCGGCUUACUGGUCCGGUUCUGACGCUGAGGCGCGAAAGCGUGGGGAGCAAACAGG